This 607-nucleotide long non-coding RNA is filed under the name Brachypodium distachyon (stiff brome). RNAcentral's name for it is "long non-coding RNA (BDIS_LNC005933)". Lineage: Eukaryota; Viridiplantae; Streptophyta; Magnoliopsida; Poales; Poaceae. The record is from RNAcentral.
AAAAGUGGGAAAAAGGUCAAGUGCCGGAGUACUAGGCUGGACAAUUAUCAAGUAGUCCUUCUUUCGAAAGGAUCAAGAUCUAUUCAGCGCUAUGCCAAUAAGCCGAAAAGGAUAGUGGUAUGUGUGCAAAUGCGCUCCAUAUGGAAAUGCUACAUGAUGUGUGCGCAGACCUCAAUGGCAAACGAAAGAAAAUGGAAAUCGUCCUGCACUUGACAAAAAGAAGAAGAAAUUAAGCCAAGCUGACCACCAUUUUCACUAGCCCGAAUCGACUGUUUCACCGGCCCUUCGUUGGACAGUAAAAAGAACUUCUUCUGUCUUAGAGUUGAUCGUUAGCCAGUUUUCAAGAAACAAAAACAAAACAAAACAAAAAACUAAGCAGACGACAGAGUACUAGAUCGAGGUUUGGCAUGCAUGCGAGCUUUGGGUCUAAACGGGCAAUGAUCGCGGCACGUAGGAGCAGUGCAUGGAGAAAUGAUUGGCUUUUCGAGUUGGUACCAACCAUAAUGCUCGAUCGAGGAGGAUGGACGGCAUGAUUGCAGAGGGCGUGCUCGCAACCCCGCAUUGGUAGGGGAAGAAAAAAAGGCCAGUUCAAGUAUCCAUUCAUGCG